Molecule: ribosomal RNA, 489 nt
Filed under: uncultured Hymenobacter sp.
Lineage: Bacteria; Pseudomonadati; Bacteroidota; Cytophagia; Cytophagales; Hymenobacteraceae
Description: bacterial SSU rRNA
Rfam family: Bacterial small subunit ribosomal RNA
Source: RNAcentral
ACUAGUGGCGCACGGGUGCGUAACGCGUAACCAACCUACCCGAAUCUGGGGGAUAGCCCGCCGAAAGGCGGAUUAAUACCGCAUAAAACUGCAGCCUGGCAUCGGGUAACAGUUAAAGAUUUAUUGGAUUCGGAUGGGGUUGCGUGCCAUUAGCUAGUUGGCGGGGUAACGGCCCACCAAGGCGACGAUGGCUAGGGGAGCUGAGAGGCUGGUCCCCCACACGGGCACUGAGAUACGGGCCCGACUCCUACGGGAGGCAGCAGUAGGGAAUAUUGGGCAAUGGGCGAGAGCCUGACCCAGCCAUGCCGCGUGCAGGAUGAAGGCUUUCUGAGUCGUAAACUGCUUUUACCAGGGAAGAAAAAAGGGGAUGCGUCCUCUACUGACGGUACCUGGUGAAUAAGCACCGGCUAACUCCGUGCCAGCAGCCGCGGUAAUACGGAGGGUGCAAGCGUUGUCCGGAUUUAUUGGGUUUAAAGGGUGCGUAGGCGG